This 468-nucleotide ribosomal RNA is filed under the name uncultured bacterium. RNAcentral describes it as "partial 16S ribosomal RNA". It matches the Rfam family "Bacterial small subunit ribosomal RNA", at positions 28 to 507 of the family's 1533-position model. The record is from RNAcentral.
GACGAACGCUGGCGGCGUGCUUAACACAUGCAAGUCGAACGGAAAGGCCCUGCUUUUGUGGGGUGCUCGAGUGGCGAACGGGUGAGUAACACGUGAGUAACCUGCCCUUGACUUUGGGAUAACUUCAGGAAACUGGGGCUAAUACCGGAUAGGAGCUCCUGCUGCAUGGUGGGGGUUGGAAAGUUUCGGCGGUUGGGGAUGGACUCGCGGCUUAUCAGCUUGUUGGUGGGGUAGUGGCUUACCAAGGCUUUGACGGGUAGCCGGCCUGAGAGGGUGACCGGCCACAUUGGGACUGAGAUACGGCCCAGACUCCUACGGGAGGCAGCAGUGGGGAAUAUUGCACAAUGGGCGGAAGCCUGAUGCAGCAACGCCGCGUGCGGAAUGACGGCCUUCGGGUUGUAAACCGCUUUCGCCUGUGACGAAGCGUGAGUGACGGUAAUGUGUAAAGAAGCACCGGCUAACUACGUG